CCUGAAGAUACCUUCCGGCGCAGUGUCCACACAGAUUGUCUGAUAAAAAGUAACGAGCAGAAAAACCUCUACAGGCUUGUAGCUCAGGUGGUUAGAGCGCACCCCUGAUAAGGGUGAGGUCGGUGGUUCAAGUCCACUCAGGCCUACCAAAUUUCUUCUCAUGCUGCGAUAUGCACUCGGUCGUUUACUGUAGUAAACUUCCCACCCGCAUGCCUUGCCUGAGUAAAAAUUAACAUUUUCCUUCUUAUUACAGAAGAAAAUGACUCCUGGUAGACAAAGGUUUCUGUAAGACCGUAUGGGGCUAUAGCUCAGCUGGGAGAGCGCCUGCCUUGCACGCAGGAGGUCAGCGGUUCGAUCCCGCUUAGCUCCACCAUAUGGUUUUUCUUCAUUCAAUACUUCAGAGCGUACUGUUUAACAGUAUGCUGCGAAGUAUUAUGCUCUUUAACAAUCCGGAACAAGCUGAAAAUUGAAACGACGUGUCGUGUUCAUUCUCCGUAAUCAGAAUGAAAUCACGAUAUGUUCGAGUCUCUCAAAUACUUGCACCCGAAAGGGUCUCUUACUCAGGUUGAGUAAUGAGCGAGCUAAGUGAAGGCAAGGCGUCAGCGCGCAGCAACGCGGAGUGGACUUGAGUCCAUGAGCAUUGCGAGCACUGCAUAACGCCGCCGUCACGACGCGCAGCCAUUACGUGAACCGGAGAGGGACGCUUGUGGGUUGUGA
RNAcentral lists this unclassified non-coding RNA (717 nucleotides) under Erwinia amylovora. Its description in RNAcentral is "16S-23S ribosomal RNA intergenic spacer". The stretch from base 298 to 370 matches the Rfam family "tRNA". Lineage: Bacteria; Pseudomonadati; Pseudomonadota; Gammaproteobacteria; Enterobacterales; Erwiniaceae. The record is from RNAcentral.